UGCAGUGAGAAGUGUGUAGAAGGCUGUGAGUGUGACGCUGGCUUCAUCCUCAGUGACAACAAAUGUGUUCCUGUUAAAGACUGCGGCUGUGUGGACUCCUCGGGCUCCUACCACCCAGUAAAUGAGAGCUGGUAUCUGGAGGGCUGUACGCAGAAUUGUACAUGUGAGGGUGGAGAAAAUAUUCACUGUUAUGACACCAGCUGUCCUCCUAAUGAGAGCUGCCAGCUUCAAGAUGGAGACUAUGUCUGCAAACCAAGCGUGAACUGCCCUCCAGACUCUGAGUACAUUGAUUGCGGCCC
Long non-coding RNA from Sinocyclocheilus anshuiensis, 299 nucleotides. RefSeq lists it as uncharacterized. The record is from RefSeq and is a predicted model, not a curated record. The transcript is spliced from 3 exons. NCBI's taxonomy places the organism in Eukaryota, Metazoa, Chordata, Actinopteri, Cypriniformes, Cyprinidae.